This 550-nucleotide long non-coding RNA is filed under the name Nicotiana benthamiana. RNAcentral's name for it is "long non-coding RNA (NBEN_LNC017328)". Lineage: Eukaryota; Viridiplantae; Streptophyta; Magnoliopsida; Solanales; Solanaceae. The record is from RNAcentral.
ACACUUAAAAAUUGAAAAAUUUCCCGAUCACCCCCUUUCGGAAAAGGUGUGACAAUAUCGAUUAUGGUCUGUCCAAAAAGGGGAAGGGGAAUGGGUUUAUAUAGCAGCAAAAAAGGAUGCACAAACAAGAAAAAUAAUUGUUUAAACACAAGGAAAGAAAUUAAGUAAAUACAGACAAAGAAAAGGGAGAAAUCACGCAUGCAAGUCAGUAAAACAAUAGAAAUGGAAAAGUAUCAAACUCCAAACCCUAGUUUGGGUUUUAAAGUCAAAAUCGGACAACUGGUAUAAAGGAUCCAAUACAUCUCGCGUAUAUAGGUGGAAUAUCACACAAAUCUUCAAGAUUGAGUCGAUUAUAUUCCGAUAUAGAGGUGGUAUUUUCCAAACGUAGGCAAAUACCUAAGUAAUACAAAAUUGAGUAGCUAGUUACAAAGGAACCAAAAUAUGGCAAGAAAUAAUUGUAAAAUUCCAGUAUCAGCAAGAUUAGGAGAGGGGCUUUGGGGGUGAGAUAGGUAGGGUUUGUAGAAGAUGAGAGCGUGUGAGGGCAGCGUAG